GCGGAAAUCACAACUUUGAAAGAAAUAUCUUCCUAACAUCAAGCUCACUAGUCUAAUGAUGAGGAUUAGUGAUAGCAAUGUCAGGGUUAGGCUCAUUUUCAUGCCAUUACAUUGAAUUUUUACCUAUGGCAUACUCAGAUGGAAAUUAUAUAACAGACUGCCAUAAGCGUGUAUGAGACUCGAUUUGGAUGGCCUUCUAGUUUCUGAAUCUAUUAGCAUUUAGCAUGUGGCAAACGUUUAAUAUAAUCCUAAUGCAACAUAACUAGUGAUCUGGUGGAUGUUCUGAUGUUGAGAAGUUAGCCCCAUAGGUGACCACACUAUGGUGAAGAUUAAAGGUUAUUUUUAGCCACAUGCUAAAUAGGAAAGUUACAUGAAAGUUAUAAACUAUUUUGCAUAUCACUGAGUGAAAUGAGUAUUUGAUCCAACCCAUCCGGAGUUCUGGCUGCCACAGACUGGAAUCAAUCAGUCAGUCAAUUACAGAUCCUCCUGAUCUCAGCUCCUUUUGGUAUAAAGCACACCUGCCCACAUAGUUUCUUCCAUUCCAGCUUCUCCACCACCACAGACAACACCGAAGAGCUGUCAAAGGAUGUCAGGGACAAGACUGUAGACCUGCACAAGGCUGGAAUGGAGUGGAAGAAGCUUGGUGAGACAAGCUUCUUCCACUCCAGAAGAUUAUUCUUCUGGAGUGGAAGAAGCAGAAGAAACAUUAAGCCUUUGGUCUUGGUGUACCACACUCAUUACAGAAUCUAAAAUUGCUUUUACACCAGAUGUGUAAACAUGAGUUUUGAUUAUAUUAAUUUGGAACUUUUAACUGCCUUCCAACCAAUCUCUGCUCCUACGCAAUCUCCUGCCUCAUCAGUUGGUGAUCCAAUUCUGGUCCUGACGUGCCAAAAUACCUCAAGCUCACCCUACCAGACCAGGAAUCUAGAGAAUCAUUGUUCAGCAUUACCCUCUACAUCAACACACAGUCAAUCUGUAAACUACGAUAACUACCUUUUAAUCAUGACUCCACUAUCUGACAUGUCUUCUGAUGAUGAGGAACUUAACCAGGCUAUACUAGCAAGCCUGCAGAGCAAAAGGACUUCAAGUUGUUUGGUAUCAGCAAAAGAUAUUUUGGAGGAACUUUCUGCAAAAAUAAACCAACAGAAGAAAUGUAAGUUCAACAUUAAUAGAUCAACAGUCCUGGAUGGAGCAAUUAGAGGUUUUAAAUGA
Molecule: long non-coding RNA, 1212 nt
Filed under: Oreochromis niloticus (Nile tilapia)
Lineage: Eukaryota; Metazoa; Chordata; Actinopteri; Cichliformes; Cichlidae
Description: lncRNA (ENSONIG00000036113.1)
Source: RNAcentral